CACCUUGUCUCUGAAAAAUAAAUAAAUAAAUCUCAUUUAUCUUUUUCACUCAGUACUGUAUUUAAAAAAAAAUUUUUUUUUAAUUUUAUUUUAGAGAUAGAAGUCUACCUCUGUUGCUCAAGCUGGUCUUGAACUCCUGGCCCCAAGUGAUCCUCCUGCCUCAGCCUCCCAACUUGCUGGAUUACAGGCAUGAGCUGCUGCACCUGCCCAGGACAAGAGACAGGGUGCCAAGAUCGUUCCAACUCCCUGUCCCACAGCUACAACUUAUUCAAAAAAGUUCCCAGCCUGUAAUCCCAGCACUUUGGGAGGCUGAGCCGAGGGGAUCAUUUGAGCCCGGGAGGUUGAGACCAGCCC
This 354-nucleotide long non-coding RNA is filed under the name Homo sapiens (human). RNAcentral describes it as "HSALNT0105218". The record is from RNAcentral. Lineage: Eukaryota; Metazoa; Chordata; Mammalia; Primates; Hominidae.